Non-coding RNA from Pelobates cultripes (western spadefoot toad), 208 nucleotides. Lineage: Eukaryota; Metazoa; Chordata; Amphibia; Anura; Pelobatidae. The record is from the annotation of a GenBank genome assembly.
CUCCAUCCACCCUGGACCCAAGACCAGGAUCCAGCUCCCAGUGGGUAGACCUCUCCUCCUCCAGAGAGCGUAGCAGGAACAGCUCUUAGAAGACCUAGUGAUUAUACUUAGUGGAGUAUAGUGAUUAAUCCCCAGAGUGUAGUUCCCCAAUCCCCCAAACACGAGCCAAGACCUAAUGAAGGGGUGAAGCAGGUAUGUUUAAUGCAAG